UGGCAAGGAUGAUAUUAUGUAAAUGAAUCAGCAUGAUUGUUUUGUACGCUAUUCUGAGCCAGUU
Small nucleolar RNA from Chiloscyllium plagiosum (whitespotted bambooshark), 64 nucleotides. RefSeq annotates it as small nucleolar RNA U54. Lineage: Eukaryota; Metazoa; Chordata; Chondrichthyes; Orectolobiformes; Hemiscylliidae. The record is from RefSeq and is a predicted model, not a curated record.